GAUGAACGCUUGCUGUGUGGAUAAGGCAUGCAAGUCGAACGCAUUUAGUUGCGUGGCGAACGAGGUAGUAACACGUAGGAACGUGCCCCCCAGUCAGGGAUAACCUGGAGAAAUCCAGAAUAAUACCUGAUAGUCCAGUGAUGGUAAAGAUUUAUCGCUGGGGGAUCGGCCUGCGGGAUAUCAGCUUGUUGGUGAGGUAAAAGCUCACCAAGGCUACGACGUCUAGGGGACCUGAGAGGGUGACCCCCACCGAUGGGACUGAGACACGGCCCAUACUCCUACGGGAGGCCGCAGUCGAGAAUCUUCCGCAAUGGACGAAAGUCUGACGGAGCGACACAGCGUGGUAGAUGAAGUCUUUCGAGAUGUAAAUACCUUUUAUAUAUGAAGAAUUUUAUUGACAUUAGUAUAUGAAUAAGGGGUUGCUAAUCACG
This 431-nucleotide ribosomal RNA is filed under the name uncultured bacterium. Its description in RNAcentral is "bacterial SSU rRNA". It matches the Rfam family "Bacterial small subunit ribosomal RNA", at positions 28 to 505 of the family's 1533-position model. The record is from RNAcentral.